CAACAAACGUGCAAGGGGAAACUAAUCUUCGAAUCCUACAAAAAGAAUCUACAUUUGACUAACGGGAACCGGGACGACCUCAUAAGCAUUAUCAUUGACGAAGUUAUUGCAAAUGACAUUAUACUAAGAGGGAAUGAUUUUGUGAAUUUGCUAGAGCAGAUAAUAAAUCUCUUUCCAAACGAAAAGGGUGCCCGGGAAUACUAUUAUAUUCCGCGCAAGGGUAAAAAAUGCCCUAGUGGAAAGCUGUACGGGAAAUACGUCAAUCAACGCAGUAAGAAAAGGAAGACAAUAUACCUUGAACAAAACACACCAUCACCUGCUAGUACUAUGACUAAUCCUUCCACGAAAAAUUACGAAGUUCCUGAAAUUGAUUUUACGAUAUGUAGAGUAUUAAAAGCAUCUCUCAGCAGAAGCAUUGCCGAUUGGAAUGAAGUCAGAGAUAAAUGGCAAAAGACAUUUAACUUGCGACAGAAUGACUUAAAGGAACUGACCAACAUUGAUUUUCUCCAAGCCUGGCCCAAAUAUUCUGAUUCGCGGGCUCCUGACUUCGUAACAAUGAAAUUACGUACUUAGCUCGCAGUUUUACUAUACAUUUACACAUUACAGAUAAAACUUGACUUCAAGAUCAUGUACCCUGACAAGGAGGAUUGUUUGUAUUCGAAAUGGGAAAUGUUUACGGAAAAAAUUCAACGAUUUUAUGAAACUAAUCUACACAACGAUUUCUGCAAACAGCUCUUUUCUCUUGCUAAAGCUUCAACGAACAAAGAUACGCAAGACUACAUUCUUACAACGCUGCUGAAUGGAGUUCUUCCACCUUCAUCAUGGUUUCAAAGUUCCUGCGGAAAGCUAAGAAAGAAAGCAACAUUAGCAGACUCGCAACAAAGCUUUGUUUUACGAUUAACUUCAAUCAACGAUUACGAAAGGAAAAUUACUGAGUUGAUAAGUAUGUACUAUUCUGCAGGAAUGACAAUACAGCCUUUUAUAAUUGUGGAAGGAAUA
Rhagoletis pomonella (apple maggot) is the source of this 999-nucleotide long non-coding RNA. RefSeq lists it as uncharacterized. NCBI's taxonomy places the organism in Eukaryota, Metazoa, Arthropoda, Insecta, Diptera, Tephritidae. The record is from RefSeq and is a predicted model, not a curated record. The transcript has 3 exons.